RNAcentral lists this ribosomal RNA (200 nucleotides) under uncultured prokaryote. RNAcentral describes it as "partial 16S ribosomal RNA". It matches the Rfam family "Bacterial small subunit ribosomal RNA", at positions 1183 to 1382 of the family's 1533-position model. The record is from RNAcentral.
CGUCAAAUCAUCAUGCCCCUUAUGCCCUGGGCUACACACGUAAUACAAUGGCGCCGAACAGAGGGAGGCAAGGCCGCGAGGCGGAGCAAAUCCCGAAAAGGCGCCCCAGUUCGGAUCGCAGGCUGCAACCCGCCUGCGUGAAGCCGGAAUUGCUAGUAAUCGCGGAUCAGCAUGCCGCGGUGAAUACGUUCCCGGGCCUU